This 386-nucleotide ribosomal RNA is filed under the name Agkistrodon bilineatus (Cantil viper). Its description in RNAcentral is "partial 12S ribosomal RNA". The record is from RNAcentral. Lineage: Eukaryota; Metazoa; Chordata; Lepidosauria; Squamata; Viperidae.
CAAUUAAAUUACCAAUUGUUCGCCAAACAACUACGAGUAUACUUAAAACUUAAAAGACUUGACGGUGCUUCACCACGCCCUAGAGGAGCCUGUCCAAUAACCGAUAAUCCACGAUUAACCCAACCCCCUCUUGCCAACAGUCUAUAUACCGCCGUCGCCAGCUUACCUUGUAAAAGAAAUAAAGUGAGCUAAAUAGUACUAACACUAAAACGACAGGUCGAGGUGUAACUCAUGAAGGGGCUAAGAUGGGCUACAUUCUCCAACCGAGAAUACGAACAACACUAUGAAACUAGUCUUUAAAGGCGGAUUUAGCAGUAAGAUAAGAAUAAAANGCUUAACUGAACAUAACGCAAUGAAGUGCGUACACACCGCCCGUCAUCCCUGCC